CAAUAGCGUAUAUUUAAGUUGUUGCAGUUAAAAAGCUCGUAGUUGGAUUUCGGGUGGGACGCAGCGGUCUCGCAUUGCGUUUGUACUGCUGCAGCCCUCCUUCUUGCCGGGGGCGGCCUCUCGGACUUCACUGUCUGGGGGUCAGAAUCGGCGAUGUUACUUUGAGUAAAUUAGAGUGUUCAAAGCAAGCUUACGCUCUGAAUAUAAUAGCAUGGGAUAACACGACAGGACUCUGGCCUAUCGUGUUGGUCUAUAGGACCAGAGUAAUGAUUAAGAGGGACAGUCGGGGGCAUUCGUAUUCUGUUGUCAGAGGUGAAAUUCUUGGAUUUACGGAAGACGAACAUCUGCGAAAGCAUUUGCCAAGGAUGUUUUCAUUGA
This 378-nucleotide ribosomal RNA is filed under the name uncultured eukaryote. RNAcentral describes it as "partial 18S ribosomal RNA". It matches the Rfam family "Eukaryotic small subunit ribosomal RNA", at positions 592 to 976 of the family's 1831-position model. The record is from RNAcentral.